AAUGAUUUGCAUUUGGAUGAAGGAUUCCCACCACAUGUAUGAAUUUGCACCUGGAUGCAAAUCCAGGAAGAGUGGGCUUAGGGGUGGGCGCUGGGGAGAAGGAGUUGGAGUCUUUGGGGUGAAGGAAGGAGGUGUUACACUAUGUGAAGACUGCAACUUUGUGCCCAAAACAGGAGUGAGAGUGAAGCAUUCAUUUUUGCCCUUCUGGAAGGUCUGCAUAGGUGACUGAUUUGGGCUUUGAAUCCCUGUGAACCCUCUGGGUUACAUUAAGGGGUCCUGGAAUCUACAUAUCAAGUAUUAUCAAGGACAGAAUAACGUAUUGCAAUAUGUGUACUGCUCUUUUUCAUGCCAUUCUGGGUGGAAGAAGAGAAGGGAAUUGGGCCUGUUAACCUUCGCAUGUAACCAAGGAGCCGUUUAUGACUGGCCAGGUCUGAAUUCAUAUCACGACCUCAUGGUAAUCAUGUGCUUACAGAGGGACUUCCAUGGAUGUUGGGGCCUCAAAAUAUUGUGGGAAAGCACUUAGGAACAGGUGCAAAUCCAAAAUGUUCUCUGUUAUACAGAAUUCAUAUUUGGGCUCAAACACAUUUUCUGCAGGAGCUGGAAGGCUGAUGUCUCCUGGGCCAUAGCCCAGCCAUUUGUCACACCUGAUGCCAUUUUUGGAAGUAGACCUUUCGCUCUGAAAAUGAACAAGCCCAAAGUGGCUGGGCCAGGAGACCCACACUGCAGAAGGAGACAGGGCAAGGAGAGCAGCAUGCUCUUCCCUUUCUUUGAACUUACAGAACUUAUUGCCUGGAACUCUGGGUCUGUAAUAACUGUUUCUGACUUUACUCUGUAUUCUCUUUUACAGGGGAUUGUAUUUGAACCUUGGGUACCACGGUGAUAACGUUAUUCUCUUUUUGUGCUUUUGUGGCUGGGCCGGGAUGGGUGGAAGUUAGAGGGCUUCUGCACCACCUCUCCUCAGCUGCUUCACUUCCCUCUCCCUGGGGUAGUGAUCUUGCUUUCCAUAACACUCUGGCGGCAGAGAAUCUGUGGGACCCAUUCCAUGGGCAAGCCAAGGCCAACAGCAAAAGCAAAGGGGAGAUGUCUCCCUGGCUCGUGGCCCACUGACAGGGCCGAUAUGACAUUCCAACUCCUUGGCCUUUGUGGACUGAGUCCUCUGGGGACUUUAGGCAAAGCCUCUUCCCCCAAAGCUUAAUCUCAUUAACAGAGGAGCGCUUAGCUCUGAAAAAGACAGUAUGUCUCAGCAGGUGUACAGAUUGACGUUAGGUUCUGCAAGUAAAAACAUAGUCAAGAAUAAAGCUAUGUUACCUGUAAGGGUAAGAGGCUUGAUUGUACAUUUUGGAUACAGCGACCCUUAAUACAGUACAUGGUUUUAAUCUGGUUUCUCUAAAAUCUUUAAAAUCAUGCUGAAACUAUGCCUAUCGAUAAUAACCCUGUUGAAUUGUAAUGCUAUGAUUACAGAAUUUAUACAGAAAUAGCACUAGCCCUUUAAAUAUCCAUGCACCAUAAGAGGCAGGAACAACAGGAUAAAUCUCCAUUCUCUAGAAUCCCACGUUGGUUGUAUAUGGUGUUUUUGUGUGUUUGUUUGUUUGUUGUUAAUAAUCUCUUUAAAAUGCCUUUUUUCAAUAUCAGUCCAAAUAAUGUCAACCUACCGUGAUGAACAAUUGAAAAGGAGAAAGAAGAAGGAGGAGAAACAAGAGGAAAAUAACCAUAGCUAAAGGCCAGGGGAGGCGUGCCUGUGUGAGGAUCCAUGCUAUUAAGUGGUUUAAAUGCGCCACUUCGUGUAGUGUACAUAACUAUCUAAGAAGGACACAUUAUCAGCCCUGUGUGACACAAGAGGAAGAUGAGUCCCAGAGAAGGGGAUCAACUUGUCCAAGGUCACACAGAUAAUUAGUGGUAUAGGCAGGACUCAAACAUAGGCCAACUGACCCAAGAGCUUUAGGCUUAACCAUUGGGAUUUUUAUUUUUAAGCAUUUUGGAUUUGGGGAUUGAAAUAAAUGAACACAUGAAACAAACUGGCAUAAUUAAAUAUAUUAGAACAUAUAAACCAAUUUUCUUUUCUUUUUGCUUUUUGUUUUUUUGUUUUGUUUUAGAGACAAGGUCUUGCUCUGUCAUCCAGGAUGAAGUGCAGUAGGUGCCAUCAUGGCUCAUUGCAGCCUGCAGCUUCUAACUGCUGGAUCAAGAGAUACAGCUUCAGCCUCCCAAGUAGCUGUGACUACAGACACACGCCACCAUACAUUGCUAAUUAAAAAAAAAUUUUAAUAUCUUUGUAUAUUUUUCUGUUCACUUUUUUUUUUUUUUGAGACUGAGUCUCACUCUGUUGCCCAGGCUGCAGUGCAGUGGCGGAAUCUCAGCUCAUUGCCACCUCGGCCCCCCGGGUUUAAGUGAUUCUCCUGCCUCAGCCUCCCAGGUAGCUGGGACUACAGGCGUACACCACCAUGCCUGGCUAAUUUUUGUAUUUUUAGUAGAGACGGGGUCUCACCAUGUUGGCCAGGCUACUCUUGAACUCCUGACCUCGGGUGAUCCACUUGCCUUGGCCUCCCAAAGUGCUGGGAUUACAGGCGUGAACCACUGCACCCAGCCUACUUUGGAUAUCUUUCUAUACAGUCUCACUAGGUUGCCCAGGCUGGUCUUGAAUCCCUGGCCUCAAGUGAUCCUCCUGCCUUGGCCACUCAAAAGUGCUAGAAUUACAGGCAUGAACCACUGCUCCUGGCCCAGCUGUUUUAAAAAGCAACAAUCUUGAAUUGUAAUGUUUGCCAAUUUUUGUGGUGCAAAUACUCCCUCUAUGGUUGAUUUCAAGCUGCCAAUGGUUUAGUACCCAGGUUGCAAAAUUCCUGAAUAUUUAAAAAUUGUCUCUCUCACCACCUGGCUCCAGCACACCCCUGUCUGUUAAUAUGUAAUGGAGAGAGUCUGAUGUAGGUUUAGGACACAGAGCCUUGGGCUCUUCUGCCUCUUAUAUGAUGCUGUAGCAUGACUCAACUAUUUUGAGCUUCAGUUUCCUUCCUCAACUGCAAAACAAGAAAGUUGAAAGAAUCAAUUGCUUUUACUUAAUUUUUUUUUCAAGGCACCUGAGGAAGGGUUUAUUCCAUGUGAAUUAAUCAGGGAAAGCCAACAUAGUAUUUUUUUUUUUUUUUUUGCUUCUUUUUGAGAUGGAGACGCUCUCUGUUGCCCAGGCUGCAGUGCAGUGGCACGAACUCGGCUCACUGCAACCUCCACCUCCUGGGUUCAAGUGAUUCUCCAGCCUCUGCCUCCCAAGUAGCUGGGAUUAUAGGCGUGAGCCACCAUGCCUGGUUAAUUUUCAUAUUUUUAGUAGUGACAGCGUUUCACCAUGUUGGCCAGGCUGGUCAUGAACUCCUGAUCUCAAAUGAUCCACCCACCUUGGCCUCCCAAAGUGCUGGGAUUACAGGUGUGAGCCACCAUGCUGGGCCCAUAGUAUUUCUUUUUAAAUGUGAAGUUGGGGAAUCUGCUAGUAACUAAAAAGGUUACUUUUAAGAAGAAACAUUCAAUCUUAAGUUUAAUGAAAUUCAUUACAUACAGUUAUCUAUUCCCCUUCCCACCCCCUAAUCUUGUCUAGGCUUUUCUUUAACUUGCUUCCUUAUUGGGUAAUAGUUGGAACAGAGACAAUCAAAGUCACUUCGUGAUUUCACUUUGGAAGUAUUUUGAUUUUCUAAGGCAAAGGUGAGGGUAUUUAAUAUAAUUAGUUUCCUGUGUAAUCCUAUUUAUUGUAUUGCAUAUGCAUAUAAAAGUAUUAUUGAAAAGUAAUCCACAGACUUCUCAAGAGUGCUAGAGAGUGUAUGGCGCAAAAAAAAAAAAAAAAUCUUUAGGAAGAGAAUGUUUUCCUUCCUCGGUGCUGAAGAGGGGAGAUUUCUAGCAAAGGAAUUAAGAGCCACUCUCCUCAUUGGACUCUCUCAAAGUGCAAAAGGAAAAGAAAAUGUAUACCUUUUUCUUCUGAAUAAAUAUCUAAAAUUAACGGAAAUUUAUUAGGGAUAUAGAGUUUUGAUUGACUUUCUUUCACAAAGCAUGUUAUCCAUUUUUCCACCUCCCUCCUUUUUUUAAAAAAUUAUUUGCUAUAUAGUUUUUAGGUCAAUGUUUAUAGUUGAAAAAUAACAUUCUCUCCCUUAUGGGGAAGCAUGUGAUUUCAAGAUAAUCUACAAUGAAAGAAAAACUUUUAUGUUCUCAUGUUGGAGAGUUGGAUGUCUCUAAACUUUCUUGUCUAACAGGAAGAUGACUUUAGUAGAGACGGGUUUUCUCCAUGUUGGUCAGGCUGGUUUCCAACUCCUGACCUCAGGUGAUCUGCCUGCCUCGGCCUCCCAAAGUGCCGGGAUUAUAGGCAUGAGCCACUGCGUCCGCAGGAAGGUGACUUUACAUUGCCUCACUCCUGUAAUGAAUACUGUGGAGACCUGCCACUUGCCAGGUCGGCUGAAGGCACUGGGACCAGUGAGAUAAAUGUCAUACCCCAUCUUCAAAGAACUCCCAAAUUCACAGAGGAGGACAUGAGGUGAACAAAACAUUAUGACACAGGCGGGCAGUGAGUGCUGUAAGACAAGAAGAAGCUGUGGGAGAGUGUACCUACUACAUGUGGCUAGACUGUCCCCACAUAUGGGUCAAUCACAGCUAUAUAGGUUUUCUCUAUUAAAAUUAUUUUCUUUUUAUUGAUUAGUACAGAAUUUUAUUUUAUUUUAUUUUAUUUUUUUUGAGAUGGAGUUUUACUCUUGUCGCCCAGGCUGAAGCGCAAUGGCAUGAUCUUGGCUCAUGGCAACAUUUACCUCCCUGGAUCAAGUGAUUCUCCUGCCUCAGCCUCCCAAGUAGCUGGGAUUACAGAAGCCCACCACCACGCCUGGCUAAUUUUUGUAUUUUUAGUAGAGAAGGGGUUUCGCCAUGUUAACCAGGCUGGUCUUGAACUCCUGACCUCAGGUGAUCCACCUGUCUCGGCCUCCCAAAGUGCUGGGAUUACAGGCGUGAGCCACUGUGCCAGAUCAUUGAUUAGUAAAGAAUUUUAACAGUAAAGAAUAGAUAAAUUUAAGGGCUCAUUUUCAUUUCUUCAUCCUCAUGCUAUAACAUACAAGUGUAUUUGAAUUUCCAAGCACAAAUUCACAGGUGCAAAAAAAUAACACAUGACAUUAUUUCAUCAGUGGUUCUUAAUCUUGGGUAUAUGGUAGAAUAUGGCACCUGGGAGAGUUUUCAAAAAAUACCAAAGCUUGAGCUACUUCUUGGUGAGCAAGGACCUUAGAAAACUCUCGAGCAAAAAUGGGAUGCCCUCGAGGAGGGUGAGAUGCUGUCAGAGUCUCUCCUGCCCCAAGGACCCAGACUGAUCACCAACGUUCAUGGCACAAAUUGGCUGUAGGGGCUUCCCAGCUGAAUACUCCCUAUGAGCAUUGGGAGAUGGGCACCGAGCCUGCCAUAUGAUGAAGCAGAAGUGGCCUCCCUAGAAAAGCUCCUCACCCCUCAGAAAUGAUUUCCUACCUUGAGAAUUGAUACUUGAAAUUUCACAGUUAGAUGGCCACACCUUUUCCAGAAGCUUUAUUUUCUUCAAAAAUAGAAGUGCCUCUAAGGAGUUACAGUAAAACUUACUGGUGAUUUGUAUCAUUUGGGCUCAUCUCCUCAUAGCAAGUUUUGAAAGGGGUUAGCAAGGUAAGUUUAUGAGACUAUUGGAUUCUGCUAUUGAGUGUAGGAAAAGGUGCAAGAAGAGAAGACUGUAUUUGGCACUUCUGAGCAUGGGUCUGCGGCUCACCCUAAAAGUGGAGUUGGUCCCUUAUUUGAAUAUCACUUAAUACUCUUUGUAAUGCUGUCAUUAUAGGGAUGAUGCUCUUUCUUCUAGUUUUAACCUCUCUGCUGUCUAGAAACAUUUUCAUGUCAAAGUUCACAUUGUUCAUUCAUAUCAAAAGAACCAAAUGAGAUACAAACAGAAAAAUACAAUCCAUAGGGCAGAAGUGGGAAAAAUCACGGAAAUCCCUUACAAAGUGAGUAGCACAGGUCAGGGUGGCGUUCCUCGUAUGCUUUCAUACAAGAUGGUGUAUAUCAUUCUCGCUUAGAAACAUAAGCACCUGUCCUCAGAGAGGCUGGUCACGGAUGGUUCUGUAGAGCACUUAGCACAUUCUGAGUGCUCCGUAAAUGUUGAGGCUAUGAGGUAAUCUUCUGAGGGUGUCUCCUCAGAGGAAGGUGCUAUGCAAAUACUGGUAUUGUUAUUCUUUUUAGCACAAAUUUAUAAUUGACUUUCUGUUAAACAUCGCAGCAAGUUAAAUUAAUUCAGUAUGAUUACAGUCAUUAAACAAAUGCCUGGUAAUGACUGCCUUCUUAUUUUAGCAAUUCCUCAAACCACUGGGGUAAUACCAUAUAAGGCUUUUGCUCCAUUGUCAGAUUAAUUGGGUUGUACAACCUGCGUUUCACGAUAGAGCAUGCACACUGCCUUACAGCAACUGGACCAUGAUUUAAGGCUAGUGCUGAACUAAUUUACCUUCGAGUUUUCCCUCUUGCUCUUGCCAUUCUGUUAGGUACAAUUGACUAGUUCAUUACAGCAUACAAGUAGCUUAAGGCCAUUUCUACCUGUUAAAAAAGAAGUGUGUUUUUCAAACAAAAUGUGGGCAGGAAUUCUCCCGCAAUCAUUCUCACAACGCUGAAACCAGCCAAAGCGAGAGGGGCAGCGAUGGCUUUAACUUAUGUUCACAUUGGGGUGGUCACCCUAAGAAUUACCUGCCAUCUUAGCAAGCAGGACAGAAAUAGUUAAGUCCUAAAGGCUAUGAAUUAAAAACUCUGCUUGAGAGAAAAGCAAUGUAAGAUGUCCCUGCCAGGUGUGGAUGGAGAAAAACUGCACUCCUUAAGCCUCUCUUUCCAUUGAAGGUCAUCUGUCUGGUGCCACCUUAGAAACUGGUCUGAUUCUGCAGAGGACAUUGAAUGAUAACACCCCGCAAGUCAGCUGACUGCUGUGUCAGAGCUGCUGCUUUCUGCAUUAUCGCAACUGCCAGCUCCAGCUCCUGCAGUUUCCCAGUCGCAAUGCAGCAAAGCAGAAGCAGACAACUAGGCACAAAGCAACAGAGUUUUAAAGUUUUCUUCUCCUGCUACUACUUAGCAUGUCUUACAUGAGGAGUAUUUACCUUUGUUUAGCCAGGAGCAGAGAUGCAUCCUGAAUGUACACGAUGGCUUCUAACUUGGCAGCGUGAAUUUUCAGCUGAGCAGGUACUGCUCGGAGACUUGUAACCAAACCGCCUCUGAUGGAGCACGGCUGGUCUCCCACCAUGUGUGUGAAUAGUUUGGGGGCUUCUUAUGCCACGCUGCUCUACCUGCAGGAAUAAAGGCUAGGACAAAGGAGAGGAUGCUUGCUAUGGUUUGUCUGGCUGGGGCCUGUGCGAGCGACUCACCGCACUGAUGCUGUGUGACUCCCCAGCUCACAUUUAAGGCUGGUCACGGGGCUGGCGCAGAUCCCCACUCCUCAGUUAGCGCACGGUUUAAAGGAGAAACCAGACUCCCUGACCUAAAUCACUCCCAGUCCUCUCUGGAUGCGGGACAGCUGUCGACUAGCAGUGACACAACCAGCCAUCAAGUGGAGAAUCGUUGCGACUGCAGUCUGUGUGCAGGUGGAGCCCGGGAGAAUGACAGUCUAAUUUCGGUCAUCCAACGGCUUUUCCUUAUUUUCCUAAAUAAUCGUGCUCGCUAAGUAUACAGUUGUCUGGAUUAGCCUGCCUGCCAUGCAGUCCUCAUCAACUCUGGCUGGAAAUCAGGGUGCCAGGCAAGCCGCCUUUAGCCCUGGCUCCUUUCUGCGUGAUGCUAUGCAGCUAGGAUGGGUCAUGCUGACAACAAAGAAGGAAGCAGAAAGCAUCACUUUCUCUUCUCUUGUGAUGUUAGCGGAACAUAACUCUUCUUCGCAGUGAUGCCCUUGUGUGUGGUGUAUGUGUGUGUGUGUGUGUGUGUGUUUUAAUUCAUCUAAUCGAAGAGCCCAACAAAUAUCAUCAUGGAUGUGAUUUUUAAUAAUUUGGAAAAAACAAAAAAAGACAGCCUGUGGAGACAGCGAUUCGAAACAGCGGCACAUUUAGGUUAUUGCCAAUUUGAAAUACUUGGUUUGUGAAGCUGAGCCCUAAGGGACAAGCUCGGUAACUGAGGAAGAGAUCGUAGAUAAAGAAAUAAAAAUGACAAGCGUAAUGGAGGCUCUGCGAAGGGACUGUCAGAGCAUCAGUUCAUGGAUGGCAAUUUCACCAGGCUGAGAUUGAAUAAUUCAUAGAUUGAAAUUACCCUGCUUUCACCUUUCCAUUUAAGCCGGCAUGAUCUGAAUCUCUCAUAAAUUUUCAAGAUAAAGUAAAAUGCCAAUUUGAAUCUGAAGAGCUUUUAAAACCAGAUGCUGCAUCCCUGAAUCUUUCGGUAUCUUUCACAAUUAUCCUAUGAGAACAGCACUUCAUCACGAAGCACCAUUACCAGGGAAAAUUACGGUGAUUACAAUAGCAACAAUAGAAUACCAUCAAAUGAUCUCUAAUUUACCUAAUUUGCUAAGACUGACUGUACGGUUUUGAUAUCCAUUGUAUGUCACCAUGCCCGGCACCCGUGAAGCUAUCUCGCACUGGAACAAAAGUGGCAUCGUGUGUGUGUGUGUGUAUGUGUGUAUGUGCACGCACACCCUGCUACCUUAACUGUGAAUGCCUAGCAAAGAACAUUCUCCUAGGUUACAAUAUUUCUUUCCUUUGGUUCACAUUUUCGCUUUUUUCCAAUGCCUCUACCCCAAAUGUGUUUGGGGAAAUGGAGAGCCUGUCAUGGGUUGGGAGACUGUUUUUUGAUACAGAAGAGCAUUGACUUGUUAAUUUAUAUACCCUCUUUAUUUUAAUGUAUACAAGCCUGUGUUUACUAAAAGGGAGGGAGGAUGCUGUUCUGGGAGAGUAAUUUUAAAAUGCAGCCGAGAUGUAGCAUAUGUGUUUGUUUCUUCUUUGAAACCCCUGUCUGUCUCUUUCAGGUUAGAAAUCCUUUCAGGGAAGUUUAGUCCUGGUGUGAUGUGUCAAAAACCUCUCAGAUUGCAAAGAAGCUCAGGAGAUACAAUCAGUAAUAACUCUGUACAGCUUUUAUUAAAAGCAUGCAUGUUCAAUUCAGUGAUUAAAUGAAGCUUCGGUACAACUUCGGCUAUGUUUGUGUCUGGUCACUCUGGAGUAGAAGUCUGUACUAAAGAGAACUUUUUGGGACAGGCUGCACGGUUCAUCUCAGGGUAAUUGUGCCAUCCUGAGAAGGUGGCAUGGAUCAUCAAUCCUCCCUGGAGAACAGACUGUAAUCAUUAAUAGGCACAAUGGCUUCUGGAAUUUUACUUUCAAUAGUGUGAAGGUAGUAUGUGGGUUUCUGCUAGUCAAGUGAUUUAAGUGUGAUUAUCGAAGGUAGGGCUUCAGAGGUAUGACCACCAUCUGGGAGGAAGCUUUACCCCUUCCCUUAUCCUGUGACCCAACAAAUACCUUUGUCAGAGCAGAACUGGAAAUAUCGACAAACAGCACUGAAGGCUCCUGGUCUACCACAGGAGGUGAUCUCUAGUGAAGAAGGUUGAGAUUUGCAUGCAGAAUUUCCAGAAUGCUGAAUAUCAGCACGGAUCACUGCAAAGAAGUUGGAACUCAUCUCACAUGAACUUCUCAGGUUCUCUUACAAGACCACCAACAUUCUUCAAACAUCAGUGAAAUAAAACAGGAGGAGGGUUUCGAGCUCUGGAUCCUCAGCCUGGAAAUGUCACAAUUUAAUCCCAAAGGUUUGCUGUGAAGUUGUAAGCAUGACAGUGUGAAACUCGACAGAUUAUUCUUGAAUUCUUUGUUUGUUUUCGUUGUGACCCGACUCUCAUAAAAUUUAUGUUUUCUUCCAAACCCCCAGGGUGUGUGGUCAUAUGACUUAAAUAGAGAAAAACAUUGUCAAAACAGUAUUGAGGAGUUAUCACUUUUACAUUGUUUUAAUUAAAGAAAAAGCCUUUCUAUCCAGGUCUAAUACCAUCAUUUUUAUGGGCAUGUUAAAGUAUCUAAUCUAAUACUGUAGUUAGUAGUAGUAUUUAGUAUUUUUAGUAUUAUUAUAGUUUUAUCUGUAUCUUAAAGAAAAAGUCAAUAAAUAUGAAAACAGAGUUUGUUUUGGGAAU
RNAcentral lists this long non-coding RNA (10075 nucleotides) under Homo sapiens (human). Its description in RNAcentral is "HSALNT0102372". The record is from RNAcentral. Lineage: Eukaryota; Metazoa; Chordata; Mammalia; Primates; Hominidae.